Molecule: transfer RNA, 75 nt
Filed under: Candidatus Levybacteria bacterium RIFCSPHIGHO2_01_FULL_40_10
Lineage: Bacteria; Candidatus Levyibacteriota
Description: tRNA-Cys
Rfam family: tRNA
About the family: Transfer RNA (tRNA) molecules are approximately 80 nucleotides in length.
Source: RNAcentral
GGUACGGUGGCGAAGUGGUAACGCAGCGGUCUGCAAAACCGCCAUUCGAGGGUUCGAUCCCCUUCCGUACCUCAA